Molecule: ribosomal RNA, 460 nt
Filed under: uncultured bacterium
Lineage: Bacteria
Description: partial 16S ribosomal RNA
Rfam family: Bacterial small subunit ribosomal RNA
Source: RNAcentral
CCUACGGGAGGCAGCAGUGAGGAAUAUUGGUCAAUGGACGAGAGUCUGAACCAGCCAAGUAGCGUGAAGGAUGACUGCCCUAUGGGUUGUAAACUUCUUUUAUAUGGGAAUAAAAUGUUCCACGUGUGGGAUUUUGUAUGUACCAUAUGAAUAAGGAUCGGCUAACUCCGUGCCAGCAGCCGCGGUAAUACGGAGGAUCCGAGCGUUAUCCGGAUUUAUUGGGUUUAAAGGGAGCGUAGGUGGAUUGUUAAGUCAGUUGUGAAAGUUUGCGGCGCAACCGUAAAAUUGCAGUUGAAACUGGCAGUCUUGAGUACAGUAGAGGUGGGCGGAAUUCGUGGUGUAGCGGUGAAAUGCUUAGAUAUCACGAAGAACUCCGAUUGCGAAGGCAGCUCACUGGACUGCAACUGACACUGAGGCUCGAAAGUGUGGGGAGCAAACAGGAUUAGAUACCCUAGUAGUC